This 921-nucleotide long non-coding RNA is filed under the name Betta splendens (Siamese fighting fish). Its description in RNAcentral is "lncRNA (ENSBSLG00000007340.1)". Lineage: Eukaryota; Metazoa; Chordata; Actinopteri; Anabantiformes; Osphronemidae. The record is from RNAcentral.
GCUGAUCCCCGCUGAGUAUGUUUGCUAUCAACGCAACCCGGUGUGUAGAGUACUGUAUUUGUUAGUAGCUGCAGUAUGAUUAAAAAAUGCAUUGUGCUUUAGACUAAUGGUGAAUAAGCAAAAAUGCUUGUCAAUUCGGAUGUAAUAUUGGUAUAUUUACCGUAAAUGGCGUAUUUGUGUUUUUUUUUUCUCCAACACAAUGUCUGGAGUCCCAGUGUUGGAUACGCUCUUCCUACUUAUGUCCUUGAGCGAGACACUGAGCCUUCACUUCCAGUGUGUUUUCCUGCUCCCUCAGGUCACACAAGGAAGCAGGGACAGAGAAUGUGGGCAUAUGAGAGAAGGAAAGGAAAUGAAGGAGAACACACGAGGAAACCGACACAAAGCCACAGUGAGAAGUAGGGAGACGAUGGGGAGGUGCCACGUCAUGCCUGAAGCUCCAGAGCAUUCACAGUCUCGCUCAAGGAUGCUUCAACCAGGACCUACGCCCGCUGUCAAGUGGCUUGAACCCAGGUCUUCCAGACGAAGGUCGCUCCACUUAAUCACUGCCUCUGCAGAAUGGGAGCGUCAUGAUAUAUGUAACCAGACCACUGACAGCGCGUCUGCAGACGGAAGCAGCAGCUGGGUAAACAUACAGUAAUGAGAGGAGGCCAACGUGGACCCCUGCACUUACACACCGCUCCUCACCUGGAUCAGGUGUGUUCAGCCCGUCAGAACCUGUAGAACCAGUAGAACCAGCAGGACUCUGGGUCCGGACCGGAACUCAAGCACACGAAUCACACGCAGAGGAAGACGACGCUUUAGUGGUGAUGUAGCUGCCGACCCAACGCGGGACUUCACAUUAGAUUUAUUCAAUAUAAUACAAAGUUCAAUUCAGAUCCCACGUGAAUUAUAAUGAAUAUAAUGUAACUAACCGAUCAUGAC